Molecule: ribosomal RNA, 465 nt
Filed under: Vreelandella stevensii
Lineage: Bacteria; Pseudomonadati; Pseudomonadota; Gammaproteobacteria; Oceanospirillales; Halomonadaceae
Description: partial 16S ribosomal RNA
Rfam family: Bacterial small subunit ribosomal RNA
Source: RNAcentral
CCUACGGGAGGCAGCAGUGGGGAAUAUUGGACAAUGGGGGCAACCCUGAUCCAGCCAUGCCGCGUGUGUGAAGAAGGCCCUCGGGUUGUAAAGCACUUUCAGUGAGGAAGAACGCCUGGUGGUUAAUACCCAUCAGGAAAGACAUCACUCACAGAAGAAGCACCGGCUAACUCCGUGCCAGCAGCCGCGGUAAUACGGAGGGUGCGAGCGUUAAUCGGAAUUACUGGGCGUAAAGCGCGCGUAGGUGGCUUGAUAAGCCGGUUGUGAAAGCCCCGGGCUCAACCUGGGAAUGGCAUCCGGAACUGUCAAGCUAGAGUGCAGGAGAGGAAGGUAGAAUUCCCGGUGUAGCGGUGAAAUGCGUAGAGAUCGGGAGGAAUACCAGUGGCGAAGGCGGCCUUCUGGACUGACACUGACACUGAGGUGCGAAAGCGUGGGUAGCAAACAGGAUUAGAUACCCGGGUAGUC